UACGUAGGUGGCAAGCGUUAUCCGGAAUUACUGGGCGUAAAGCGCUCGCAGGCGGUCUUUUAAGUUUGACGUGAAAGCUCCCGGCUUAACUGGGAGAGGUCGUUGAAGACUGGAAGACUUGAGGCAAUGAGAGGGGUGUAGAAUUCCCGGUGUAGUGGUGGAAUGCGUAGAUAUCGAGAGGAACACCGGUGGCGAAGGCGGCCAACUGGACAGAUACUGACGCUGAGACACGAAAGCGUGGGGAGCAAACAGG
This 253-nucleotide ribosomal RNA is filed under the name uncultured bacterium. RNAcentral's name for it is "partial 16S ribosomal RNA". It matches the Rfam family "Bacterial small subunit ribosomal RNA", at positions 524 to 776 of the family's 1533-position model. The record is from RNAcentral.